CCCUUAGAUGUUCUGGGCCGCACGCGUGCUACACUGAGUGGAUCAGCGGGUCAGGUUGCGCGAAAGUGUUUCCUAAUCUUUAAAUCCGCUCGUGAUGGGGAUUGACGGUUGCAAUUUUCCGUCAUGAACGAGGAAUACCUUGUAAGCGCGGGUCAUCGUCCCGCGCUGAAUACGUCCCUGCCCUUUGUACACACCGCCCGUCGCUCCUACCGAUUGAGUGGUCCGGUGAGGCUUUGGGAUCUGAGCGGAAAGAGCGUUUCGCUGUUUCUGCUCGGAAAACUCAGUCGAACCUUAUCAUUUAGAGGAAGGAGAAGUCGUAACA
This 322-nucleotide ribosomal RNA is filed under the name uncultured eukaryote. RNAcentral describes it as "partial 18S ribosomal RNA". It matches the Rfam family "Eukaryotic small subunit ribosomal RNA", at positions 1470 to 1796 of the family's 1831-position model. The record is from RNAcentral.